CCUGAUCCAGCCAUGCCGCGUGUGUGAAGAAGGCCUUUUGGUUGUAAAGCACUUUAAGCGGGGAGGAGGCUCUUCUAGUUAAUACCUAGGAUGAGUGGACGUUACCCGCAGAAUAAGCACCGGCUAACUCUGUGCCAGCAGCCGCGGUAAUACAGAGGGUGCGAGCGUUAAUCGGAUUUACUGGGCGUAAAGCGUACGUAGGCGGCUUUUUAAGUCGGAUGUGAAAUCCCUGAGCUUAACUUAGGAAUUGCAUUCGAUACUGGGAAGCUAGAGUAUGGGAGAGGAUGGUAGAAUUCCAGGUGUAGCGGUGAAAUGCGUAGAGAUCUGGAGGAAUACCGAUGGCGAAGGCAGCCAUCUGGCCUAAUACUGACGCUGAGGUACGAAAGCAUGGGGAGCAAACAGGAUUAGAUACCCUGGUAGUCCAUGCCGUAAACGAUGUCUACUAGCCGUUGGGGCCUUUGAGGCUUUAGUGGCGCAGCUAACGCGAUAAGUAGACCGCCUGGGGA
Molecule: ribosomal RNA, 506 nt
Filed under: bacterium KGJ-3-23
Lineage: Bacteria
Description: bacterial SSU rRNA
Rfam family: Bacterial small subunit ribosomal RNA
Source: RNAcentral